Molecule: transfer RNA, 73 nt
Filed under: Darwinula stevensoni
Lineage: Eukaryota; Metazoa; Arthropoda; Ostracoda; Podocopida; Darwinulidae
Also listed under: 3 other names
Rfam family: tRNA
About the family: Transfer RNA (tRNA) molecules are approximately 80 nucleotides in length. Their secondary structure includes four short double-helical elements and three loops (D, anti-codon, and T loops). Further hydrogen bonds mediate the characteristic L-shaped molecular structure. tRNAs have two regions of fundamental functional importance: the anti-codon, which is responsible for specific mRNA codon recognition, and the 3' end, to which the tRNAs corresponding amino acid is attached (by aminoacyl-tRNA synthetases). tRNAs cope with the degeneracy of the genetic code in two manners: having more than one tRNA (with a specific anti-codon) for a particular amino acid; and 'wobble' base-pairing, i.e. permitting non-standard base-pairing at the 3rd anti-codon position.
Source: Rfam by way of RNAcentral
GGGUGUUUAGCUCAGUUGGUAGAGCGGCGCCCUUACAAGGCGUAGGUCGGGAGUUCGAGCCUCUCAACACCCA